GGGCCCGCACAAGCGGUGGAGCAUGUGCUUUAAUUCGAUGCAACGCGAAGAACCUUACCUAGGCUUGACAUGGGAGUGAAAUCUCGUAGAAAUAUGAGACCUUCCGCAAGGAACACUCUACACAGGUGCUGCAUGGUUGUCGUCAGCUCGUGUCGUGAGAUGUUGGGUUAAGUCCCGCAACGAGCGCAACCCUCGCCCUUAGUUGCUAACAGGUUAUGCUGAGAACUCUAAGGGGACUGCCUAGUUUAACUAGGAGGAAGGUGGGGAUGACGUCAAAUCCUCAUGGCCCUUACGCCUAGGGCUAGACACGUGCUACAAUGGUCGGUACAACGGGAUGCGAAACAGUGAUGUCGAGCAAAUCCCAAAAAACCGAUCUCAGUUCGGAUUGGAGUCUGCAAUUCGACUCCAUGAAGCUGGAAUCGCUAGUAAUCGCGGAUCAGCAUGCCGCGGUGAAUACGUUCCCGGGCCUU
This 470-nucleotide ribosomal RNA is filed under the name uncultured bacterium. Its description in RNAcentral is "bacterial SSU rRNA". It matches the Rfam family "Bacterial small subunit ribosomal RNA", at positions 917 to 1382 of the family's 1533-position model. The record is from RNAcentral.